GAUUUCCCCCACAAAGCCAAGUACUUGCUUAGUAAUGGUAUAGGAACAAGAAUAAGGAGGAAAGAAUAAAUUAUAUAUCUGUUUAUUAUCUAUCCAUCUGUCUAUGUCUCCAGCUGCUCAGUACAGUAUGUUUGGCAAAAAAGAAUGUACUUGUUUAUAAUGUUCAAUUUUCUCAGAAAUAUGGAAUAUUGUGUUUGUGUGUAUAUACUGAAAGACAAUGUUACUUUACUUGUGUUGCCUUAAGAUAAACCAAAUGAAAAAAUUGUACCUCUUAAGAGCCAAGAUAUCCUACACUCAAGGACAGCUCUGAUCCAUUAUAUUCAUGCCAAUUCUGCAUCUUUUGUGAAGCAAGAAUAAAACAUGUAUUUACAAUGAUGCUCAAAAACCAAGAACACCAGCUCUAAGCAGAAUAUUUACUGGAAACUAAAAACAGAUUGGGAAUUUUGCUUAUCAUUCUGUUUUCCAGCUCUGAAUCCCAAGAGAAACUUAGGCCAGAUCCCAAGCACUGAGCUGUGCCAAAAUAAACUAACACCAAACCCAUUGGUUAGUACAAGGUCUAGGUUCUUUCUGCAAAGCUUAAUAAGGAAGAGAGUGAAAUAACUGCAGAACAAAGGAAGGGAAAUACCAAAAUGAAGACUCAGAAAAGACAGUCCCUCCAAAAAUGAGUUUAUUAUAACAUUGAGAGAAAAGUUGUUUCUCCUUGGCAUCCUUGACAUGAAAACCCAUCAUGACUGAUCUGGAUAAGGUAGAAAGGGAGAAGAAUGAGAUAAAGAAGUAUACCAAGGCUCGAGAAAAAGAUGGUGGAUAGAUGAGGGACCCUGAGACCUUGAGCUCCACAAUUUCAGAAAAAUACUUUAGAUUCAUGGUAGAAAGGACUGGGUAAACCUGUUUGCUUGUUUUUUCCAACUAAAAUUUUGCCAGUACAUAGGAUGCACAUAAUGUUCAAGGGCUGACCCUUGAAUUAGUUUUUGUAGCACAUAGUAGCUUGGAAACCCAGAGUUCAGACUGGUAGCAGAAGUGCUGGAAAGCCUUUCUCCUGUUUCAUUUGUUCUGAGUCCUGCAAGCAUCCUGGAUCUGCCAUAAUUCAUGGACAUGGAACAUGGCUGUGUGGCCAGAGUUGAGUGAAACUACAAACUAACCAAGUGAGUGCAACAUGUAAUCUGCUCUGGAGGGAAGCACACGGUCCAGUGCAGCUGGUGGGCAAAUUGCACCCCUCCUCAACAAAACUGGUGGCCAAGUAAAUGGAGAGAACAUUUCACCUCUACCUCAUGGAGGUGGGACAGAACACUGAGAUGACCCAAGCUGUGUGGAGUUAGGGCAGUCUAAUGACUGCCUGGUGAAAAUAAAACAUUCCAGCACCUUGGAGAAACCA
RNAcentral lists this long non-coding RNA (1372 nucleotides) under Castor canadensis (American beaver). RNAcentral describes it as "lncRNA (ENSCCNG00000012844.1)". Lineage: Eukaryota; Metazoa; Chordata; Mammalia; Rodentia; Castoridae. The record is from RNAcentral.